AACGAACGCUGGCGGCAUGCCUAACACAUGCAAGUCGAACGACACCUUCGGGUCUAGUUGCGCACGGGUGCGUAACGCGUGGGAACCUGCCCUUAGGUUCGGAAUAACUCCCCGAAAGGGGUGCUAAUACCGGAUAAUGUCUUCGGACCAAAGAUUUAUCGCCUUUGGAUGGGCCCGCGUUGGAUUAGCUAGUUGGUAGGGUAAAAGCCUACCAAGGCGACGAUCCAUAGCUGGUCUGAGAGGAUGAGCAGCCACACUGGGACUGAGACACGGCCCAGACUCCUACGGGAGGCAGCAGUGGGGAAUAUUGGACAAUGGGCUAAAUCCUGAUCCAGCUAUGCUGCGUGAGUGAUGAAGGCCGUAGGGUUGUAAAGCUCUUUUACCCGGGAUGAUAAUGACAGUACCGGGAGAAUAAGCUCCGGCUAACUCCGUG
Molecule: ribosomal RNA, 433 nt
Filed under: uncultured bacterium
Lineage: Bacteria
Description: partial 16S ribosomal RNA
Rfam family: Bacterial small subunit ribosomal RNA
Source: RNAcentral